UGAGGAAUAUUGGGCAAUGCCCGCAAGGGUGACCCAGCAACGCCGCGUGGAGGAUGAAUGUCGUAAGAUUGUAAACUCCUGUUAGAGGGGAAGAAUAGUACCGGUUGGACCAGUAUAUGACUGUACCCUCAGAGAAAGCCCCGGCUAACUACGUGCCAGCAGCCGCGGUAAUACGUAGGGGGCAAGCGUUGUCCGGAUUUACUGGGUGUAAAGGGCGCGCAGGCGGGAUAAAAAGUCAGUGGUGAAAUCCUACAGCUUAACUGUAGAACUGCCUUUGAUACUUUUAUUCUUGAGUUCGGGAGAGAGAGACGGAAUUCCAGGUGUAGUGGUGAAAUACGUAGAUAUCUGGAAGAACACCAGUUGCGAAGGCGGUCUCUUGGUCCGACACUGACGCUGAGGCGCGAAAGCGUGGGGAGCAAACA
This 422-nucleotide ribosomal RNA is filed under the name uncultured bacterium. Its description in RNAcentral is "bacterial SSU rRNA". It matches the Rfam family "Bacterial small subunit ribosomal RNA", at positions 355 to 774 of the family's 1533-position model. The record is from RNAcentral.